RNAcentral lists this ribosomal RNA (255 nucleotides) under uncultured Acetobacteraceae bacterium. RNAcentral describes it as "partial 16S ribosomal RNA". It matches the Rfam family "Bacterial small subunit ribosomal RNA", at positions 62 to 339 of the family's 1533-position model. The record is from RNAcentral. Lineage: Bacteria; Pseudomonadati; Pseudomonadota; Alphaproteobacteria; Acetobacterales; Acetobacteraceae.
UCGCACGGUGCUCUUUCGGGGGUACAGUGGCGGACGGGUGAGUAUCGCGUAGGGAUUUAUCGUUGGGUGGGGGAUAACCGCGGGAAACUGCGGCUAAUACCGCAUGACGCCUGUGGGCCAAAGCAGUAAUGCGCCUGACGAGGAGCCUGCGUCCGAUUAGUUAGUUGGUUGGGUAAUGGCUGACCAAGGCGAUGAUCGGUAGCUGGUCUGAGAGGAUGAUCAGCCACACUGGGACUGAGACACGGCCCAGACUCC